UACGGGGGGGGUAAGCGUUGUUCGGAAUUACUGGGCGUAAAGGGCGCGUAGGCGGCGCGGUAAGUCACUUGUGAAAUCUCUGAGCUUAACUCAGAACGGCCAAGUGAUACUGCAGUGCUAGAGUGUGGAAGGGGCAAUCGGAAUUCUUGGUGUAGCGGUGAAAUGCGUAGAUAUCAAGAGGAACACCUGAGGUGAAGACGGGUUGCUGGGCCAACACUGACGCUGAUGCGCGAAAGCCAGGGGAGCAAACGGG
Molecule: ribosomal RNA, 253 nt
Filed under: uncultured bacterium
Lineage: Bacteria
Description: partial 16S ribosomal RNA
Rfam family: Bacterial small subunit ribosomal RNA
Source: RNAcentral